This 476-nucleotide ribosomal RNA is filed under the name uncultured bacterium. RNAcentral describes it as "partial 16S ribosomal RNA". It matches the Rfam family "Bacterial small subunit ribosomal RNA", at positions 28 to 523 of the family's 1533-position model. The record is from RNAcentral.
GAUGAACGCUGGCGGCGUGCCUAACACAUGCAAGUCGAGCGAGUGAGUUCUUCGGAACGAUCUAGCGGCGGACGGGUGGGUAACACGUGGGCAACCUGCCUCAUAGAGGGGAAUAGCCUCCCGAAAGGGAGAUUAAUACCGCAUAACAUCGUUGAAGGGCAUCCUUCGAUGAUCAAAGGAGCAAUCCGCUAUGAGAUGGGCCCGCGGCGCAUUAGCUAGUUGGUGAGGUAACGGCUCACCAAGGCGACGAUGCGUAGCCGACCUGAGAGGGUGAUCGGCCACAUUGGGACUGAGACACGGCCCAGACUCCUACGGGAGGCAGCAGUGGGGAAUAUUGCACAAUGGGGGAAACCCUGAUGCAGCAACGCCGCGUGAGUGAUGACGGCCUUCGGGUUGUAAAGCUCUGUCUUUGGGGACGAUAAUGACGGUACCCAAGGAGGAAGUCACGGCUAACUACGUGCCAGCAGCCGCCGUAA